RNAcentral lists this transfer RNA (76 nucleotides) under Acropyga silvestrii. RNAcentral's name for it is "tRNA-Gly". Lineage: Eukaryota; Metazoa; Arthropoda; Insecta; Hymenoptera; Formicidae. The record is from RNAcentral.
AUUUAUAUAGUAUAAUUAAUAUAAAACAUUACAUUUAAUUUCCAAUUAAAAAAUUUAAUUUAUUUUAAUAUAAAUA